GAUGAACGCUGGCGGCGUGCCUAAUACAUGCCAGUCGAGCGAACGGACGAGAAGCUUGCUUUUCUGAUGUUAGCGGCGGACGGGUGAGUAACACGUGGAUAACCUACCUAUAAGACUGGGAUAACUUCGGGAAACCGGAGCUAAUACCGGAUAAUAUUUUGAACCGCAUGGUUCAAAAGUGAAAGACGGUCUUGCUGUCACUUAUAGAUGGAUCCGCGCUGCAUUAGCUAGUUGGUAAGGUAACGGCUUACCAAGGCAACGAUGCAUAGCCGACCUGAGAGGGUGAUCGGCCACACUGGAACUGAGACACGGUCCAGACUCCUACGGGAGGCAGCAGUAGGGAAUCUUCCGCAAUGGGCGAAAGCCUGACGGAGCAACGCCGCGUGAGUGAUGAAGGUCUUCGGAUCGUAAAACUCUGUUAUUAGGGAAGAACAUAUGUGUAAGUAACUGUGCACAUCUUGACGGUACCUAAUCAGAAAGCCACGGCUAACUACGUC
This 497-nucleotide ribosomal RNA is filed under the name uncultured bacterium. RNAcentral's name for it is "partial 16S ribosomal RNA". It matches the Rfam family "Bacterial small subunit ribosomal RNA", at positions 28 to 507 of the family's 1533-position model. The record is from RNAcentral.